GAUUUUGGGCAAAAUGUUCAAGAAAUCGAAAAGGAUCUAGGCGGCCGCCUAGGCAGCGCUAGGCGGAGCUAGAUGGCCCUAGGCGGAGCUGGGCGGCCUUCGUCUUUUCGCUUUGCGUAUGUGCAAACUGACCCAUUGAUCUCUGUCACCACUGACGAGGACGUCGACAACAUGAUGGAGGAGUACGAUCGCAUCGCACAUAAUCAAAACUUAAAGUCGGUGUGGCUUCGCCUCUUUCCCAGAACUUCUGUGCAUGAAAACGAAGAAUUACCGUGGUGGCUUAAAGGGAGUGAUAGAGGGACAUGUGCGGAGGAGAGAUGGGAGGGUUGGAGUGGAGUGGUUUUGAUUUGUUGUUUUCAAGAAGAGAAGAAGACGGAGGGUUGAAGAGAAGAAGAUAGAGGGUUCUCUUGGUAACAUAUUGUUUGGGCCCAAAAUAUUAGUUUGGGCCGAGUAUAGAAUCAUUCUCGGCUCGGGAGGCCUUACAACAAGGAUACCAUGGAUCAUGGGCCUCUAAACCUAGGACGGCUAGGUCAUGACGCAGGACAAGUCGAGUCUUGGUGCAAUAAGGAGUUUCGGCAGGAUUAAUAACCCGAAAGCGAAUUCGGCUCAAUUAAGGACUAGGUUCAUAAUUAUAUAGAAAAUAGGACUGGUCGAGUUGUUGUUUGAUCAGGAAACGAAGACCUACUCCGAGUAGGGUUUUGACUCGGCUUUAAAGGUAUCCAGUGCUAUAAAUAGAAGAGGCUGUGCAACAAAGAAGUCUCUCCAAUUCAACACAUAACUGCCCUACGCAAACUCUCUCAACAACUUUGAGAUUUUUAUUUUCUCUUUUUGCUGACACAUUUUCCGUUGGCAUCAACAUCACUGUGAAAACAACCGGUGAUAUCUUAAGUCGGCAUAGAUAGCUUUGUCAUCGUAGAAUCAGCCGGUCCCGCAGUAUCUUCCGUUGGCAUCAACAGCACUGCGGCGAGGACGGUUGGUUACUUAUCCAAGUCUCGGUCGAGAAGGAUUUCCGAAUCCUUAUUGAUUGAGGUCGUCUCAUUAGCCUUCUCGGCGAAGUGAGGUGUUACAGUUUAUUGAGCUCGGCGCAUUGCACGCCCAAGUUAUUUUAUGAUUGGAUACUCCCAAGUGGGAUUUAGAGUUCGGCAUUCAGACGGCCGAACCACGUUCACUAUUAAGACUUAUAUUCGCUUUGAGUAUUUGUGCCCUUACACUUUGGUGUCGAUUCGGCGAGAGUUUACUCUGAUGAAUAACAUCACUGUGACCGAAUCUGAAGACGGCGAUUUGUGAACUUCGUAAGAAUAGUAACCUUGUCUUCAGGUUCGAGAGCCCAAGAGGUCGAGACGUGUUCCUUUCUCGGCCGCAAUCGCAAGACGCAGAAGUCAGCCGCGCACCCAACGCAACAUCAACAAAUUUACUCCUCGGCUGACGAGUUGGCACGCCCCACAUUCACCGAAGGACGUAGUUAGCUUAUAGAUUACUCGGCCUGCACGCCACGUAGGUUUGGUAGUUUUUAGGGUCAACAUUUUGGCAUGCCCAGUGGGACCCAGUGCUAAACUACGAAGUUCAUGCCAAUUGAAUCACGAUCGGUAAAAAAGAAAACAGCUAUGGGAAAAUCAACAGCCGAUUUACCAACUCAGAACAUAGGACACAGUGUGCCACAGGCGCAGAAUCCCAUCAGCGCCGUAACACCUGAGUCCACGAGCGCAACUUGCCGAGAAAGGGAAGUUAAUCUCGGCGGUCAAUUUCGCAGUCUCGAAAUCCCCGACAGGAACACAUGCGUCCUCAAUGAAGGGAUAAUAGAGGAUUGUGACGAAGAUGGUGGCGAAUGAUCUGAUCCACCAACAAGGUCGUUUCUUCGAAAACGGCUCGAUGAGCAAUCUCAGACGGUCGAGCAGAUGUUUAGUCGAGGAAUCGAUAAACUUCAUGACGUGAUACGCAAUACCAGUGAGGCACAAACCAGAUUACUCGAGAUACUGGUUAGUAAGGUCAGCGACGGUACGACUUUCGAUCUUGCUCAACAUUUGCCACCGAGAAAUAAUCUCUUACCAAGUGCACCGGCCGGGUCAAUCCCUGCUCGGCUUAAACCAAUUAACUUGGAAAGAGGAUGAGGAUAAAACAGUAGGUUAGACGGAUCCGACCAGAGAGUGGAAGCAACACCCGUCGAUAUGACUGAGGUUCAACGGAUGAUCGAUUCGGCCAUAAAGAAAAGGCCGAAGUUCCCUAAAUUUAUACAUCCGUAUCCGGCUUAUGUGGAACAGUUCGAAUACCUUAGAGGUUUUAAAAUCUCAGAUUUUAGCUUUUUUACCGGAGAAUCAUCCUUAUCCUCGUUGGAACAUGUGGCUCGUUUCACUGCGCAAUGCGGAGAUGUCAAUAGCGACUUUCACAAACUGCGACUGUUCAAUUUUUCGCUGACGGGUUCAACAUUUGCUUGGUAUAUCAACCUUCCAUCGAAUUCUGUCCAGAACUGGGAGAAGUUGGUCGAGAAAUUUCAUGAGCAGUUUUAUCGACCAGGAAUGGAAGUGUCAGUAUCCUCGUUAGCAAGGAUGGCUCAAGCAUCCGACGAAUCACCAAUGGAUUAUCUUACCAGAUUUAAAUCAGCCAGGAAUUGGUGCCGAGUACCUCUCCCUGAAGUCGAGUUCGUAAGACUUGCUCUAAAUGGUCUUGACGUGGAAUAUAAAAAGAAAUUCUUGGGGGCAAAUUUUCAGGAUAUGUUUGAACUAGCCCAGCAUGUUGAGCAGUAUGAUUAUUUGCUCCGUGAAGAGAAGAUCUCGAAAGCUCCGUCCAGAGGGACGAUUUACAAAAAUCCUACUGUCAGUUAUGCAUCGGCCGAAGGUGAAUGUGUUAGCGUGGAUGCAGCCGAGAUAAUCAUAGAUAAGCCAUACGUUUGCAAGGCACUGACUCAAAUUGACUCUAAGGAGGCCAAAACCCGCUCGGCCCACGAAGAAACAAUGAAAACGUCAAAGGUCUAUACUUUUGAUAUUACAAAGGCCAAUGCGAUUUUUGAUCAAUUGUUAUCAGCAAAGAUCAUUAAACUUCGGCCUGGACAUAACAUUCCCAAGGCCGAAGAGCUUAAAGGAAAGAUAUAUUGCAAAUACCAUAAUUCAAGUAAACAUACGACAAAUAAUUGCGUCGUGUUUCGAGACAACGUCCAAAGCUGGAUUGAUAAUGGCAAACUGAGAUUUUUAGAGAAGAAGAUGAGCGUUGAUACUGACCCAUUCCCCACGGCAACAGUAGGUAUGGUCAAUGCGUGCCUACCUAAGGACAAAGGGAAAGGGAAGGCCGAAGCUGUUGUGACGCAACGCUUUCGAAAUCAGAACUCUCGGCCACGUUUCAUGGUCGAUUUUCGUUUAAACGAACCACCUACAGCUUUAACGGGACCCGCUAUUGUCAAGCCUAUGAUGGAUUACAGCACUGAUGAAGACAGUGGGACGGCGAUUUUAUGCAGUAAAUGUAAAGCAAAGGUCAACAUUGAGCCAGAAGAAAAGUCCUCUCCGCCUAUAAUGGAACAACCUACAGCCGCAACCCAGCAAAAGGCGACCAACGUAGGCCAACAUCAAGGGGUUUUUGAUAGGCUCGGUCCUAAAGUGAGGAUGAAAGAGACACCUUCAGUCAGACGGCGCCUCGAUUUUGAUGCUCCGUUCUAUGACGAGGACUAUUAUAUACGUAACUCUAGCAGCUCGGAAUCAUCGCGGAGCCAAAAACCUUUCAAACCUCCCGAACCUAGAGACCAACGUUGGUAUACAUAUCACUCUUCGAAAGACGUUUACACUGCACUGUCCAAAUCCCAGAAACGCCGGCACCAAAGAAUAGAUUGCAUGGCCCGCCGACGGGCAGCCCAAGAAACUUCGGUCCCUAAAUGGCGGCCGAAGGACACAAUUGCCACCGACGACGAACGACCACCUCCAGCGAUUAUGACAGAGUUGGUUCAAGGGAAACGGCUGGUCAACCAAGAUAUCGAAACCACGUUCGAAGAGGCUGAUAAACGGAUCAAACUUCUUCUUCGGCCUGGGGAGAUGAAGGCACGCCUCGAGCAUUUCAGGCAAGAAGCUGAAAGCAAAUUAGCCCCGCCGGCCACACGAGAACCUUUGAUCAAAAUUUGACGAAAUUUGCAUCCACCAUUCUUCGAGGAGGCCUUGGAAUAUAUGCGAGAGUUUCAUAAGAAACAUUUGGCCAACGAUCUGUAUGGUUUACCGAAAGCAUGUCAAGACACAAUCGAUCUGGUCCUAACUUGCCCUGAUGCCGAGCGAAUCAUUCAGAAGACCUCAGACCCAGGAUUGAAAGCGAGUUCCAACACAUACGAAAAACACGUGUCUUUGGUUUUGAAGUCGACCCAUACACUAAUAUCGAUGCAGCCGACCUUCCUUUCUCAAUGAAGGACCUUCAGUAUUUACGAUAUCACUUCGAAGUAUUUUCGGCUGUUUCUCUCUUCGGCCUUACGGCCGAUGAAAUAGCAUGUGUCGCACGGUUGGAUGCCUAUCUCGACACCAGGGAUGCCCGGAUACACUACCAGGAGCAAGUUCAGCUUAUGGCCCCAAGCACACUUUCGAUCUCAGCCUCACCGGAGGCACUUACGCAAAACCAACAGGCUGCCGAAGAAACACCGCGGGAUCAAACCAUUGACGAAUGAGCAAAAGAGUCUCUUUGUCCAACUCUGACGGCAGCGUAGGCCGCAGUCGCCAACCAGGAAAUAGACGAGGCUAGCGAAGAGGAUCAUAACUCGAUGGGCCUGUCAGUCCUGGAUAACAUGGAAAUCAGUAUGGUCCAUGUUUUGCCUGCUGAUUUUCAGUCAAGCACAACUCAACCGAAUUUCCUCGAUGGUGAUGUAUUCGCCGAGGAAGCCGGUCAUAUCGAUUUUGUACAUAUUGCUGAAGUCGAGUCAAUAACAAAAGAUGAUAGUCUGAAAGCAGCUUUGGCCGAAUUGUUUCCUCGUUCAUCAUCGGCCAAACUUCAUCAUUUGAAGCCAUUGUAUGUGACGGCCUAUAUCGAAGGGUAUCCAGUCUCUAAAGUUUUUGUCGACUGUGGAGCCACUGUCAAUAUCAUGCAUGUAAACAUCAUGAAGGCCUUACGUCGCUCUAAUGACGAACUUAUUCCGUCCGGGAUCACGAUGAGUAGUUUCGUCGGCGACAAAUCCCAAACCAAAGGAGUACUUCCGUUAGCAGUAAAUAUUACCGGCCGUACUCACAUGACCGCUUUUUUCAUUAUCGACUCCAAGACCGAGUAUAGUGCACUGCUCGGUUGAGACUGGAUUCAUCAAACCAGCUGUAUUCCUUCAUUAUUGUAUCAAGUGCUCGUCUUUUGGGAUGGCAAAUCGGUCACUGUUCACCCGGCCGAUAGCCAACCCUUCGAAGUUAAUAUGAUCCAAGCACGGUAUUAUGAUGACCACGUCGGCUACAUCACCAUACAAGGCUUCAAUGAUGAAGGACGGUUGACUCGGAUUUCUGUUCAGAAAGCUAUUGAGGUUGACGCCGACUGUCCACCAGGAUUCGACGAAACUCGGGUUAGCUAACUUCCUCCCCGACCCUGAUGUUUGACACCGAUCGGGAACAACGACAGGCCAUGGUUUCUUAUACUAUGGAACGACUGCUGGGCCAUUGGUAUACUAUCUCUAGGCAGCCACAUUCGGGUGUCAACCUCGUCGAGUUCCUCGCUGAAGGAGAUAAUGGUCCCGUCUUAUCUCCUGAUAAAAUUCAAGCUGCUCCGGCCGAGCGUGAAGACAAUCGGCCCCAAGUUAAGGACCCCCUGGAAGAAAUUAAUGUUGGGACGGCCGAUGACCCACGACCUUUGUUUAUUAGUGCUUUACUUCCACAACCUAUGAAAGAUGAACUUCGUGCCCUGUUUGAGGAGUUCAAAGAUUGUUUUGCUUGGAGCUACCGUGAAAUGCAUGGCUUAGAUCGUACUCUCGUCGAACAUGAGUUACGUAUUAAGCCUGGAUGUAAACCUUUCCGUCAACCACCUCGCCGAUUCUCGACCGAAGUAUAACUCGGUAUCAAGGACGAACUGGUUCGGCUCUUGAACGCCGGGUUCAUUCGGACAGCUUGGUACGUUGAAUGGUUGGCCAAUAUCGUUCCUGUUUUAAAGAAAAAUGGUGCACUGCGCAUUUGCAUUGACUUCAGAAAUCUGAAUUUGGCAACUCCCAAAUAUGAGUAUACAAUGUCGAUUUCAGAUUUGUUAAUAGAUGCGGCAGCAAAUCAUGCCAUCUUAUCUUUUAUGGAUGGCCAUGCCGGGUACAACCAAAUUUUCAUUACCGAAGCUGAUGUGCACAAAACUGCUUUUCGCUGCCCGGGGGCACUCGGCACUUACGAAUGGGUUGUUAUGCCAUUCGGCCUCAAAAACGCCGGCGCCACAUACCAACAGGCAAUGAACACCAUAUUUCAUGAUUUAAUUGGAACCAUCGUCGAAGUCUAUAUCGACGAUGUUGUAAUUAAAUCCAAACAACGGUGAACUCAUCUGGAUGAUCUCUGACAGGCUUUCCUCCGUAUGCGUCAACACAAUCUCAAAAUGAAUCUUGCCAAAUGUGCAUUCGGUGUGUCAGUCGGUAAUUUUCUCGGUUUCCUAGUGCAUCACCGUGGGAUUGAAGUGGACGAAAAUAAAGCACGUGCAAUCAUCAGUGCUCCACCCCCGACGACGAAGAAACAACUGCAGUCCUUACUCGAUAAGAUAAAUUUUUCUCCGCCGAUUUAUAGCUAACUCGGCAGGUAAAAUGAAAGCGUUCUCGACGCUGUUGAAACUUAAGGACUCAGAUAAAUUUGAGUGGACCGACGAGCAUCAGGCAGUGUUUACACAAAUCAAAGUCUCCCUCACGACACCACAUGUCCUUAUUCCACCCCGGCGCGGUAAACCUCUCAAAUUAUAUAUCUCGGCGGCUGAAGAGUCCAUCGGCUGCCUCAUCGCCCAAGAUAAUGAUUCCGGGCGGGAGCAGGCUAUUUUUUACCUCAGUCGAAAUCUUAAUCAACUGAAAAUCAAUUAUUUCGCCAUUGAGAAGCUCUGUCUCGCCGUGUUCUUCGCCGCCUCUAAGCUUCGACAUUACAUGCUUCCGUCGGUCACACAAGUCAUUGCCCAGACCAACGUCAUCCGGUACAUGCUUACCUGGCCAAUCGUAAAAGGCUGAAUUAGGAAAUAGACAAUGGCGUUGUUCGAGUUUAGCUUGCAAUACGUGCCCCAGAAAGCUGUCAAAGGCCAGGCAUUGGCAGACUUCCUUGCUCAACGCCCUUCCCCCUAUGGUUUUGGGGACACCGACGUCAAAAUCGGCAUGGUUGAAACACGCGACAACUAAUGGACGAUGUAUUUUGACGGUUCAAGUACUUCAUCCUCGGCCGGCGUUAGCAUUGUCAUUCAAUCUCCUAACCACGAUCGUUGGUAUUUUUCGCUCAAGUUGGAUUUCGACUGCACCAAUAAUCAGGCCGAAUACGAAGCCCUUAUCAUCGGCCUUGGCCUCCUUCAUGACUUGCGGGCCACCCGUGCCCUCGUCCUCGGCGACUCUGAACUUGUGAUUAACCAACUUAAUGGGUCUUUCCGCUGUAUGAGUUGUACCCUGGCACCCUACCAUAUGGUUGCCAACUAUUUGGCCGAAUCCUUCGCCGGUAUUACUUUCAAGCAUAUUUCCCGGACCCAUAAUACCGCCGCGAACGAGUUGGCUCAAAUCGCCUCCGGUGCACAACUCCUUAGGGGCAAGCUAGGCCGAGAAAUACCGGUGUUACGAUAGCUAUACCCGGCCUUGGUUAACCAGCAAAUCCUCUGAUGCGACGACGUGAUACGCACCAGAGUCAUGUCCUUACCUUCGUUGCUAGAUCGAUAAGACCCUAUAGAGGUUUGUGCCAUCGAGGCAAUGCCAGAUGAUUGGAGAAAGCCCAUUAUGCAGUACCCUGACAAUCCCAAUGGAAAACAUAGUCGCAAGACACGAGUUCACGCCACGAACUAUGUCACGUACCAAAAUGAGUUAUAUCGAAAGGGGGAAGAUGGUCUAUUAUUGCUAUGCCUCGGCCCCCAAGAGAGUGCUCAAGCAAUCACAGAAGUCCAUGAGGGGGUGUGCGGAGCUCAUCAGUCCUGACGUAAAAUGCGGUGGUUGCUUCGGCGACACGGUUAUUUUUGGCCAAGAAUAUUGAAGGAUUGUAUCGAAUUCGCACGAGGAUGUAUAUAGUGUCAGAUUCAUGGUCCUAUACAGCGGGUCCCGACCGAGUCAUUACAUUCGGUCACUAAACCAUGGUCAUUUAGAGGAUGGGCUAUAGACGUAAUUGGUAAAAUCACACCAUCCUCCGGGGCUGCCAAGCACGCAUGGAUACUCGUAACAACCGAUUACUUCACUAAGUGGGUCGAAGCUAAAUCGUAUGCUGAGCUAACGUCUAAAGAAGUUUGCGACUUUGUGGAAGAACAUAUUGUGACUAGAUUCGGUGUACCAGAAACGAUUAUAACUGAUAAUGGCACAAUCUUUACAGCCGAAAGGCUUAGAGAAUAUACGGCAAGUUUAAAAAUUCAGCUUGAACAGUCUACACCGUAUUACCCACAAGCAAAUGGGCAGGCCGAGGCAAGUAACAAAGUAUUGAUUGGCAUUCUCGAGAAAAUAAUAAAAGAAAGGCCUGGCACGUGGCAUUUAAAGUUAAACGAGGCUUUAUGGGCAUAUCGAACAUCGCUCCGAUCGACGACUGGGACAACCCCGUAUGCACUAAUCUACGGACACGACGCAGUGUUACCAGUCGAGCUAAGCAUAAAUUCGUUAUGAAUAAUUGAACAAAGUAGUUUGUUCAGCGCCGAAUAUAAUCAGUCCAUGAGACAGGAGUUGGAAGACUUGGAAGAAGCGUGACUCGAUGCUUAUAACUUGUUGGUGGCACAAAAACAGAUUACCGAACGAGCAUACAAUCAAAAGGUCCGACAAAAAAUAUUUGGCGAAGGAGAAUUAGUUUGGCAAACGGUGUUGCCCACGGGAAUUAAAGACCCUAGGUUCGGCAAAUGGUCGCCAACUUGGGAAGGUGCUUUUGUCGUGCACAAGGUUCUCGGCAAAAGCGCGUAUCAUCUUAGAGAUCGGACUGGUUUAGUUCACAAAUUGCCAAUCAAUGGGAAGUUUUUAAAGAAGUACUAUCCAGUCACAUGGGAGAUGCAGGAAUAAAAAAAAUUUCAUUUCAUUAAGGCCGAUGAACAAAUACAUAUCGAGGUAAUCGAUCAGUGUACAUUUAAGGUGAAGAAGGAAGAAGGGUGCCGAGAAGAGCCUUCAACUCCAGCCAUCGCACCUCGCCCAUUAUGAUAUCGGCCUGCCGGUUAUUCUUGUCCAUUUUUAACUGCUCGACCCGUUUUGUGCUCGUCGCAUACUCGGUUAAACAAGCUUUGCCGCCCGACUCGAAAUCCUUAGCAAGCUCGGAAGCAAUGGCCGACCUUCGUUUCGCUAAUUCGACCAUUUGACGGUCGAGGUCAGCCAAGGCCUCUCCUUUUGCCUUCAAAGCAUCAAUCUUUAGGCGGAGAGUAUCUUGGACGGCUGUGGCAGCUUGCAAGUCUUGUUCGGCCUUCAGAGCGUUUUCGAAGAUACUAAAGGUCUUCCGAACCCGCUCCAAGGUAGACGACGCCUGAACGAUAGCCUCGCCGCUCAGUUGACUAUCGGCUCCGAGGUCAUUUAGACAUGCACCGAGCAAAUCAAGACCUUUGCAUUCGAGUACUUGCGACGCCGAAAGGGACAAGACCUCUCGCAAUCGAGCUAGAGCAGUUGAGUCAGCAGCAUCAGUUGUGGUGGCCGAAGGACCAGCCCCUCCAGUGGUGCUGGACAAGAGGGCUUUAAAUUCUACUUCCCAUGAAGCAUGCACACAAAAUCAGGUUAAGCUCAAGGAAAUCAUAAAAAGACCACAAGAAGGUUUUGUUUUUAAACCUGCCGAGAGGAGACUUCGGCCAUGUCUUCAGGAUCGUUGCUCGAACCUAAAGAACUUAAUGGUCGAGCCCAGUAUCUUAGAUUGCUUCUCAGCUCACGCGGCCGAUGGAGGUUAUCUACGUUCGAUGGCCACUGAGGUGGCCAAAAGACAUAGAUAACACCCUUCAGUGCAUAGAAUUUUCGAUGAAAAGAGUGUAUAGGCACCUGACAGUUAGUACUUUCCUGGUUUAGAGUUCUAUAACAGAAAAAUAAUCAAGGAAAGGCGGUAGAGGGCACUUACGAAAGCCGAGAUGGCUUCCUGCGGAGGAAUAUCGAGGUCCUGGUCCUGAGGAUGAACAGGCGUUUCCACCGUCGCCUCUGGCUCUCCAACAAGUCAUUUGCCACGUUCGGUCGUAGAAGGGCCGACCGGGACAGCCGCUUCGAACGAAAAAUAUAGGUCCUGGUCCUGUGGAGGAGCGGGCGUUUUUGUCGCCACUGUUAGCUCUUCGGCCGGUCGUUUGCCACGGUCGGCCGUGGGAGGGCCGACUUGGGCAGCCACCUCAGACACAUGAGGAGGUUGAUGACGGGAACGAGGGCGACUUGCUAGUGGAACCUCGUCGCUCCCCUCACUUUCUUCCAAAACGGAGAUCGAGGGUUUUGGAUUUGCAGGGGAAUUUCUCUUGGUCGCAGGGACUGCCUUUUCCAGGACAGGUGUAGCUUCGACCGGUGGGAUAACAACCGGUCUACCAACCUCAGAAACAGGCCGUGCUCGGACUAUUUCCUCGGUUGAAAUUGACCGUUUCUCGACCGGGGCUUGGGCGAUGGGGGGAGAAGGGGAAAGGUUGGGAGUCGUCGCUCCCAUAGUAUGACUAGAGAUAACGUGAAUCUCCCGUUCUCCUUUCUUCACCAGUUUUUUGAUCCGUUUGGCGGGCCGAGAAGGUUCGGUGGUCGGUUCGACUUCUCGACGAAGCCGUUUGCUCAACAAGGCCUGCGCAGCAGCUUUUGCUUUCUUGAAGAUGACCGAUUUUCUCUCGGUCGCAGCAGCAGCAACCACAACCACUUUUUUCAACGAUCGGCUACCUGAGAAAGUAAAAACAAAUCAGUAAAGGAGAUCAGUAGUUCAUGGUUGAAGGAAAAAGGCAGAAGUAAACCGUUACCUUGGGCUUGGGGGGCAGAUGGCUUCUUAGGUCGACCACCGAAGAGGUUAUUUGACCACCGAAGAGGUUAUUUAAAAUAGUUUCGACCGGAACACCAAAAAACUGUUCGGUAUACUGCUCCCACCAGUCACUGAAGGUGUUAGUGCAAAGAGUCUCUGGAGUGGCCGGUCGAAGGUGGAAUUUCUGGCACCGCUCCUGGAACUCCCUUUUGGCGUCGGUGCAUUCCUUCUCCGAAUAGCCAGGUUCGCGUCCGCGGCUUAGGACCGACCUCGAGGAAAGAAGAGGGACUGGACAACCUUGGAGAUAGCCAAGCUACCGAGCGAGGAAGUUGGGGUGGUACACUUCCCAACUCGCUCGGCGACCCUCACAACCGAGAGGCAGGUCGCGGGUAAGAACGAAGGACCCCCAGGAUUGGCGAAGGUUAGCAUUUUCGUCCGCACCCCAGGCUGUGGUAGGAAGUCUGAUCGACGAAGGGUACUCUCGACGACGACAGAUUAAGAACUCGUCAUUAGAAAGGGCAUCGAGAGCGAAUAAGUAUCUGAAUACUUCUUUGGCUUGGUGAGGGGGGAUUGGUCGAAGAGCCAAUUGAAGGCCGAAGGCUUCCCUGUGCGAGAAAUCAGCAAUCGUUGGCCGAAGAGGAGCGAAGUAGACCUGCAGCCAGAGUUGGAAGACCCAGAGAGGCCCAUUCUGUUGAGGAUCGACUUUAUCUUGAGUCGCUUCGGCCAAGCAGCGCAAAAGAUGAGCGAGAAUGGCCAGGCUAAGUGCCAAAGUGUGACCGAUAGCUAGGGUCUCGGCCACUGGCAUGUUCUCGACCAGACACUUAUUAGAUUUGGUACAACAAAUGAAUUUGUUGUACCAAUAGAAGAGGAAAGCCUCGUGUUCUCCUUCUCACAGAGCUUCUUCUCCUCGGCCGGCAAAAUGGAGGUAGAGGGUGUUGUAGUUGAAGAAGUUCUUGUGAAGCUUGUGAACCUCUUCCUUCGAGGGUGUUUGGCCUUCACUGCUUAGCGUCUCAAGGGCCCGUUUGUCAAAGAGCACCUUCAAAUUAAGGUUUGACGGGUACCCAGGGAGGGCAUAGUCGACUGGGAUUCCAGUCGGGGAAGUCCCCAGGAUGGCAGUAAGGUUGAGGAUGGUGGGGCCAAUGGGGCCGAGAGGGAGGACCAUGGUGUUAGUGGCCGAACACCAAAAGCAUAAAGCCGCUAGGAGGAGCUCCUUGUCCAUAGAUGAAAGGCGAAUGGCGUCGUAGAUGCCUAGGGCUUUCCAUUGCUCGCCGAAGAUUUUUUCCAUUCGAACAACCCAGGCUGCCCAGGUUGUAGUAGUCGAGGGCCAAGAGCCUUGGGGCCUCGUUACAUCCCACUUCGACCAGUCGAACCCUUGUAGCAAGGGUGAUAAGCAAUGCUCCUGGAGAAGUGCAGUAAUGGUCGAUGACACCGCCGCCUUAAAGAGAGGACCCAAGAUUUGAUGAGGGGUGCUCAUGUUGCUCUCAAAUCGAUGGUCUUGAUUGAACUCCGAUCGAUGAUCUUCUGGCAUUGGUCACACUCCUUGGAAAGGUUGGAGAUAAAUGAGGCCAUGAUGAAUGGUUUGAAGGAAUGACAAGAAAAGAACUUUCUGGGUUAAAGGUUGAAGAUGAAAAUUUGGAAGGAAGAUAUGCACUGGAGAGCAAUGGCAAGAAAUUCAGAAAAUUGGAAAACGUAAAAGUACAAAUGAGAGGAUUUCGGUAUUUAUAGGACGAUGGAGGGAAGGGCAAUCGUUCGAAAUUUAAAAUGAAGGGUAAAAUCGACCAAGAAAUUCGCUAAUCAUUAUGAACAUUCAGAAGAUCCAGUUGAAAAGAUCGAGGGUUUCGUAUUUCGGGAGAUGCACGAUUGCGUGUGGCGGUGAGAUUUAUGGUGAAAGACGGUUUGGCGUCUGCACGAUGCUGAAUGGUUCGUAGAUCGAGGCGACAUGGUGGUGUUCAGCAAUAAGGCCAUAAUGAUAUGACGGUUCAGGGAGCCGCACGCUUCAAACAUUAUUAUGGACUAGCCCUAUAAAAGAAUGCCACGUAGUGUGGUGGUUAGCAGGAUCAAGAUCGUGCAAUCAUGCUUAAUAAAUGCGCCUCAGGAAUAAGAGCAUUUGAGUUUUGAGUUUUAAUUUCGCUUCUUCAAGGUCGGAGCUCGACCAGAGGGUUCAGGCCGAGGGCCUCAGAAGCGAGGGGGCAAUGUUUGGGCCCAAAAUAUUAGUUUGGACCGAGUAUAGAAUCAUUCUCGGCCCGGGAGGCCUUACAACAAGGAUACCAUGGAUCGUGGGCCUCCAAACCUAGGACGGCUAGGUCAUGACGCAGGACAAGUCGAGUCCUGGUGCAAUAAGGAGUCUAGGCAGGAUUAAUAACCCGAAAGCGAAUCCGGCUCAAUUAAGGACUAGGUUCAUAAUCAUAGAGAAAAUAGGACUGGUCGAGUUGUUGUUUGAUCAGGAGACGAAGACCUACUCCGAGUAGGGUUUUGACUCGGCUUUAAAGGUAUCCAGUGCUAUAAAUAGAGAAGGCUGUGCAACAAAGAAGUCUCUCCAAUUCAACACACAACUGCGCUCUGCGCAAACUUUGAGAUUUUAUUUUCUCUUCUUUCCUCUUCCAUUGGCAACAACAGCAUUGUGAAAGCAACCGGUGAUAUCUUAAGCUCGGCAAGAUAACUCUGUCAUUGUAGAAUCAGCCGGUCCCGCAGAUAUCUUCUGGGCAUCGAUGACGGUAUUGCACUUUUUUCCAAGUUGGAAAGAUCUCGGUUGAGAAUUGUAGAAUCGUCCCCGUCAUACUUUUUCAUCAAUGACGGGUGGUUACUUGAUUGAGGAAUUCCGAAUCCUUAUUGAUUGAGGUCGUCUCAUUAGCCUUAUCGGCGAAGUGAGGUGUUACAGUUUAUUGAGCUCGGCGCAUUGCACACCGAGUUAUUUUAUGAUUGGAUACUCCCAAGUGGGAUUUAGAGUUCGGCAUUCAGACGGCCGAACCACGUUCACUAUUAAGACUUAUAUUCGCUUUGAGUAUUUGUGCCCUUACACUUUGGUGUCGAUUCGGCGAGAGUUUACUCUGACGAAUAACAUCACUAUGACCGAAUCCGACGACGGCGAUUUGUGAACUUCGUAAGAAUAGUAACCUUGUCUUCAGGUUCGAGAGCCCAAGAGGCCGAGACGUGUUACUUUCUCGGCCGCAAUCGCAAGACGUAGAAGUCAGCCGCGCACCCAACGCAACAUCAACAAAUUUACUCCUCGACCGAGCUCGGCCGACGAGUUGGCACGCCCCGCAUUCACUGAAUGACGUAGUUAGUUUAUAGAUUACUCGGCCUGCGUGCCACGUAGGUUUGGUAGUUUUUAGGGUCAACACAUAUAGAGGGAAAUGUGCGGAUGAGAGAUGGAGUGUUGGAGUUAUUGUGAUUUGUUGUUUUCAAGGAGAGAAGAAGAUAGAGGGUUGAAGAGAAGAAGAUAGAGACUAGACUAGGCAGCAGGGAAAAUCAGAAAAGUAGAAAAAGUGCCUAGUUUUGUGUGAAAGUCCCUCAUAAUAAAAAAAAAAACAUAAAUAAUAAUUACCC
Molecule: long non-coding RNA, 14528 nt
Filed under: Malus domestica (apple)
Lineage: Eukaryota; Viridiplantae; Streptophyta; Magnoliopsida; Rosales; Rosaceae
Description: long non-coding RNA (MDOM_LNC017802)
Source: RNAcentral